CACGUGGGAACGUACCCUUCAGUUCGGAAUAACUCUGGGAAACUAGAGCUAAUACCGGAUACGGCCGAGAGGCGAAAGGUUUACUGCUGAAGGAUCGGCCCGCGUCCGAUUAGCUAGUUGGUGAGGUAACGGCUCACCAAGGCGACGAUCAGUAGCUGGUCUGAGAGGAUGAUCAGCCACAUUGGGACUGAGACACGGCCCAAACUCCUACGGGAGGCAGCAGUGGGGAAUAUUGGACAAUGGGCGCAAGCCUGAUCCAGCCAUGCCGCGUGAGUGAUGAAGGCCCUAGGGUUGUAAAGC
This 300-nucleotide ribosomal RNA is filed under the name uncultured Hyphomicrobiales bacterium. Its description in RNAcentral is "bacterial SSU rRNA". It matches the Rfam family "Bacterial small subunit ribosomal RNA", at positions 114 to 431 of the family's 1533-position model. The record is from RNAcentral. Lineage: Bacteria; Pseudomonadati; Pseudomonadota; Alphaproteobacteria; Hyphomicrobiales.